AACGGGACAUUGGAUGUGUACGCGCGCGCGUUUGUGUGUGUGUGUCUAUGUGUCUGUGCUAUUGGAGUGCCCAAAAUAAUGGGACAAAUUAAUUAUUGCUAGCAAUUGAAGCCAAAAUUAAGAAGAAAAAAAUUUUUAACAUAUACAAAAACAAAGUGAAAAAGUGUAGCAUAUGGUCUGAUAACUGUCAAGUUUGCCGCUAACGGGAAAAACAUAUCAAAGAAAAGGGAUUAUUUUGGGACUGAAAGAUUCACUUUGAAAGUGCUUAAGAACAGAAAAGGCAAAAACUGCAAAACUUCUCCCCGGGCCAACUGACACAGGGAGAGCGAGAAGCAGAGAGCGACAGGAGGCAAAUCGAACAAAAAUCGAAACAAUCCAAUCGGAACACAAAUCUUGAAACCAAAGUCCAUUGCGGUUCCGCCAAUUAAUAUUGAUGUCGUCGCAUCAUCGAAUCAGUGGCAAUCAAGGCUAGGCGGUAGGAGGUGGAAAACUGUGCACAGUUGUGAGUUUCCACAAAUAUGCGCCAGCAAACAGAAUCAGAAUCGUCGGACGAUGCUAUAAUGAGCCAUAUCAGCGUGCAAAUAUUAUCCGCGACAGAACAGCCGACAGGGGAGUGAGUGGGCCAAAACAAUGAGCAGCAGCAACAGCAACGGCAGCAGGAAAAUUAUCAUCAGGAAAAGCAGCUCUUGAGUAAAUAGAAAAUCAACGAGCAAAAUCAAUACGAAAUCAAUACAAAUACGUGAGAAGGUCUACAUGCAUAUAUAGAAGAUAGAGACAGA
Drosophila obscura is the source of this 779-nucleotide long non-coding RNA. RefSeq lists it as uncharacterized. The record is from RefSeq and is a predicted model, not a curated record. Lineage: Eukaryota; Metazoa; Arthropoda; Insecta; Diptera; Drosophilidae. The transcript is spliced from 4 exons.